AUGAGCGCACUCCUCGCAACACCCACCAGAGCCCAGCCGUUUCUCCUUCUUCUUCACCACCUCCGACCGAAUCAGCUGCGUCCACUCCACACAACCAGAGCUCUAGCUUCGUUCGCCGCGUCGUCGCCAAGAGCACCGCCCGCUCGCCGAGGGACCAGAGCCAUGGCGUCGCAGAAGUUCCCGCCGCAGCAGCAGGACUGCCAGCCCGGCAAGGAGCACGCCAUGGACCCCCGCCCCGAGACCCUCAUCAAGAACUACAAGUCGGCCAACAAGCUCCAGGGCAAGGUGGCGCUGGUGACCGGCGGCGACUCGGGCAUCGGGCGCGCGGUGUGCCUGUGCUUCGCGCUGGAGGGCGCGACGGUGAACUUCACGUACGUGAAGGGGCACGAGGACAAGGACGCGGAGGAGACCCUGCAGGCGCUCCGCGACAUCAAGUCCCGCACCGGCGCCGGCGAGCCCAAGGCGCUGGCGGGCGACCUCGGGUACGAGGAGAACUGCCGCAGGGUGGUGGAGGAGGUGGCGAGCGCGCACGGCGGCCGCGUGGACAUCCUGGUGAACAACGCGGCGGAGCAGUACGUCCGGCCCUGCAUCACCGAGAUCAGCGAGCAGGACCUGGAGCGCGUGUUCCGCACCAACAUCUUCUCCUACUUCCUCAUGGCCAAGUUCGCGGUGAAGCACAUGGGGCCCGGGUCCAGCAUCAUCAACACCACCUCCGUGAACGCGUACAAGGGCAACGCGACGCUGCUGGACUACACGGCCACCAAGGGCGCCAUCGUGGCCUUCACCCGCGCGCUGUCGAUGCAGCUGGCGGAGAAGGGGAUCCGCGUCAACGGCGUCGCGCCGGGGCCCAUCUGGACGCCGCUCAUCCCGGCCUCCUUCCCGGAGGAGAAGGUGAAGCAGUUCGGGUCCGAGGUGCCCAUGAAGCGUGCCGGGCAGCCCAGCGAGGUGGCGCCCAGCUUCGUCUUCCUGGCCAGCGAGCAGGACUCCUCCUACAUCUCCGGCCAGGUCAUCCACCCCAACGGUGGUACCAUCGUCAAUAGCUAG
This 1044-nucleotide ribosomal RNA is filed under the name Triticum aestivum (bread wheat). RNAcentral's name for it is "partial small subunit ribosomal RNA". The record is from RNAcentral. Lineage: Eukaryota; Viridiplantae; Streptophyta; Magnoliopsida; Poales; Poaceae.